Molecule: ribosomal RNA, 443 nt
Filed under: uncultured bacterium
Lineage: Bacteria
Description: partial 16S ribosomal RNA
Rfam family: Bacterial small subunit ribosomal RNA
Source: RNAcentral
CCUACGGGAGGCAGCAGUGGGGGAUAUUGGACAAUGGGGGGAACCCUGAUCCAGCGACGCCGCGUGAGUGAAGAAGUAUUUCGGUAUGUAAAGCUCUGUCAGCAGGGAAGAAAGAAAUGACGGUACCUGACCAAGAAGCCCCGGCUAACUACGUGCCAGCAGCCGCGGUAAUACGUAGGGGGCAAGCGUUAUCCGGAAUUACUGGGUGUAAAGGGAGCGUAGACGGUUAAGUAAGUCUGGAGUGAAAGGCCGGGGCCCAACCCCGGGACUGCUCUGGAAACUAUUGAACUUGAGUGCAGGAGAGGUAAGCGGAAUUCCUAGUGUAGCGGUGAAAUGCGUAGAGAUUAGGAGGAACACCAGGGGCGAAGGCGGCUUACUGGACUGUAACUGACGUUGAGGCUCGAAAGCGUGGGGAGCAAACAGGAUUAGAUACCCCAGUAGUC